GUCGGUUAUGGAGAUGUUUACCCUGUUGGUCCACUAGGAAAGGUAGUUGGAGUUCUUUGUAGUUUGUGUGGAUUAUUAGUGUUAGCUAUGCCAAUAGCGAUCAUUGCGGGUAAU
RNAcentral lists this small RNA (114 nucleotides) under Mytilus galloprovincialis (Mediterranean mussel). Lineage: Eukaryota; Metazoa; Mollusca; Bivalvia; Mytilida; Mytilidae. The record is from RNAcentral.